Chelonia mydas (Green sea turtle) is the source of this 983-nucleotide long non-coding RNA. RefSeq lists it as uncharacterized. The transcript has 3 exons. The record is from RefSeq and is a predicted model, not a curated record. Lineage: Eukaryota; Metazoa; Chordata; Testudines; Cheloniidae.
GGGCGCCAAAACCUUCAUGAAGAAGGGUACCCAAAAUGGAGGAUUAACAACAACAUUUAGAAUAACAAGAUGGCCAUGUAAGGCAAGGUGGUAAAACAAGGACAUGGGUUGCAUGAACGCUGGGACAUGACCAGGACCACAGGGUUACCGACUUCAGAAAGGAACACAGGACUUCUGGACACAGGAACACAGGUGUGCGCGCAUCAGGUCAGCUGUGGAGCCCUCAGCAACACUGGUGCACCACGCUACUGGAGCUUUCGACACAAGUUUGAAGUCGUCAUUUAUGUAAUGGAUAGUGGUGGAUACGAAUGAGGAGACUGCAGGAGAUUUUACUUGAAAAGACAGUUUUUUUGUUCAACUGAAACAAUACGCACAAGAUAGCGCAGUCCUGAAGUACCAGACUUGUACUCACAGUAACGUAACACUCUUGAACACCUGUCACAACUUACAAAUUCCAUAUGUUUCCCUGCACCAUCAACUACAGCUGAAAAUUUAUUCCAACUAUCUGACUUUCCAUGUUUUUUCUUCUUGAUUGUACUUUUUUUUUUUUUUUAAUAAAAACCUCUACGUCCUCAGGUUUUAGAUCGGCCAUUCUUAUAAGCACUGACAGCAAGCUGAUACAACAGUGACAGUCUGUGUAUAUGUGAGGCCACAGAACAACAAAACCUGUGAGUGUGAUUCUCUGACCUGAGUUGAGCUGGUAUUCUACACUGGAUUCAGAGCGAGAGAGAUAAAUGCGUAUAGGAAAGAGAAACAAAAUAAUUAGCAAUUUCCCAAAUAGGCUAGUCAUGGUAAACGGACAAGAGAUUUAGUUUUCAGAGUAGCAGCCGUGUUAGUCUGUUUUCAGCAAAUUACUGCAGUCUGUUAUUUUGCUCACCCAAUCCCGCCCACAGGAGCCCAGUCCUGCUGCAGGGGUCUAACUGGCACUAUAUUCAUUGCAUUAGAGUUGGUUCAGAUGCUUGUACUGAGAAUUGUUAUAAGGG